This 433-nucleotide ribosomal RNA is filed under the name uncultured bacterium. Its description in RNAcentral is "partial 16S ribosomal RNA". It matches the Rfam family "Bacterial small subunit ribosomal RNA", at positions 29 to 507 of the family's 1533-position model. The record is from RNAcentral.
AACGAACGCUGGCGGCACGCCUAACACAUGCAAGUCGAACGAGACCUUCGGGUCUAGUGGCGCACGGGUGCGUAACGCGGGGGAACCUGCCCUUAGGUUCGGAAUAACUCCCCGAAAGGGGUGCUAAUACCGGAUAAUGUCUUCGGACCAAAGAUUUAUCGCCUUUGGAUGGGCCCGCGUUGGAUUGGCUAGUUGGUAGGGUAAAAGCCUACCAAGGCGACGAGCCAUAGCUGGUCUGAGAGGAUGAUCAGCCACACUGGGACUGAGACACGGCCCAGACUCCUACGGGAGGCAGCAGUGGGGAAUAUUGGACAGUGGGCGAAAGCCUGAUCCAGCAAUGCCGCGUGAGUGAUGAAGGCCUUAGGGUUGUAAAGCUCUUUUACCCGGGAUGAUAAUGACAGUACCGGGAGAAUAAGCUCCGGCUAACUCCGUG